Molecule: unclassified non-coding RNA, 508 nt
Filed under: Hevea brasiliensis (rubber tree)
Lineage: Eukaryota; Viridiplantae; Streptophyta; Magnoliopsida; Malpighiales; Euphorbiaceae
Source: RNAcentral
ACCAGCUGUUAUUGUGGGAAACAGGUAAAUAUCUAAGAAUAAGCAGUGGUUUUUUUGUUGUUUCUUUUGUUUAUUUGUGAUAAUUCCCUAAAUUAUGCAGUACUUCUGUUUUAACUUUCAGUCUUUAGGAAUCUUUUUUUAACAUGCUCAUAAAGAGAGGCAAUUAAGAUACUUGAAAUUAUUGUGUGUAGUCUGAUCUCUCUUUUUGCAUUAGUAUGAAGAAAUUCAAGUGAUUUUAAGUUUUCCUCUCUAGAAUUCAUGUUUUCCUUUUGAGUGCUGAUAUUAUUUGAACGCUAUAACAAUAACCAAGAAAAUUGUUACCAUCACACAAUUUUCCUCCAUCCUCUAAUUCACUUUUAAGGCUUUCUGAAAUGUUCUUGUGCCCCUUUUACUUUAAUAAAUUAUAAGCAUUACAGUCCUUGGCCCAUUAUUCUUAGAGGUGGCCCAUUCAAAUCAUGCUGUAUCUGAAUAACAUGCUCUUGUGUGCAUAGUUAUUAAAGGCUCAAGG